GAUGAACGCUGGCGGCGUGCCUAAUACAUGCAAGUCGAGCGAACAGACGAGGAGCUUGCUCCUCUGACGUUAGCUGCGGACGGGUGUGUAACACUUGGUUAACCUCCCUAUAUGACUGGGAUAACUUCGGGAAACCGGCGCUAAUACCGGAUAAUAUAUUGAACCGCAUGGUUCAAUAGUGAAAUACGGUUUUGCUGUCACUUAUAGAUGGAUCCGCGCCGCAUUAGCUAGUUGGUAAGGUAACGGCUUACCAAGGCAACGAUGCGUAGCCGACCUGAGAGGGUGAUCGGCCACACUGGAACUGAGACGCGGUCCAAACUCCUACGGAAGGCAGCAGUAGGCAAGAUGCUGCAACGAGCGAGAGCCUGACGGUGGAACAGCGCAGAAGUAAAGAAGAUGUGCAGGUCGUUAAAAGCUAUUAUAAGGGAAGAACAAAUGAGGAGGUAGCGAUGCACGUAGUGACGGUACCUAAACAGAAAGACACGGGUAACUACAUU
RNAcentral lists this ribosomal RNA (497 nucleotides) under uncultured bacterium. RNAcentral describes it as "partial 16S ribosomal RNA". It matches the Rfam family "Bacterial small subunit ribosomal RNA", at positions 28 to 507 of the family's 1533-position model. The record is from RNAcentral.